GGGGCCAUGGCUUAGUGGUAGAGCAUCUGGUUGGCAUGCAAAAGGUCUCAGGUUCGAGCCCCGGCAUUUCCA
This 72-nucleotide transfer RNA is filed under the name Sphaerodactylus townsendi. Its description in RNAcentral is "tRNA-Ala". It matches the Rfam family "tRNA". Rfam says of the family: Transfer RNA (tRNA) molecules are approximately 80 nucleotides in length. Their secondary structure includes four short double-helical elements and three loops (D, anti-codon, and T loops). The record is from RNAcentral. Lineage: Eukaryota; Metazoa; Chordata; Lepidosauria; Squamata; Sphaerodactylidae.